UCCUCCCUCUUUCUUCGUGCUUAACACAUGCAAGUCGAACGGUGAAGCUCCAGCUUGCUGGAGUGGAUCAGUGGCGAACGGGUGAGUAACACGUGAGCAACCUGCCCCUGACUCUGGAAUAAGCGCUGGAAACGGCGUCUAAUACUGGAUACGAGAAGGGUCCGCAUGGGCACUUUCUGGAAAGUUUUUCGGUUGGGGAUGGGCUCGCGGCCUAUCAGCUUGUUGGUGAGGUAAUGGCUCACCAAGGCGACGACGGGUAGCCGGCCUGAGAGGGCGACCGGCCACACUGGGACUGAGACACGGCCCAGACUCCUACGGGAGGCAGCAGUGGGGAAUAUUGCACAAUGGGCGAAAGCCUGAUGCAGCGACGCCGCGUGAGGGAUGACGGCCUUCGGGUUGUAAACCUCUUUCAGCAGGGAAGAAGCGAAAGUGACGGUACCUGCAGAAGAAGCACCGGCUAACUACGUG
This 468-nucleotide ribosomal RNA is filed under the name uncultured bacterium. Its description in RNAcentral is "partial 16S ribosomal RNA". It matches the Rfam family "Bacterial small subunit ribosomal RNA", at positions 36 to 507 of the family's 1533-position model. The record is from RNAcentral.